Molecule: RNA transcript, 3220 nt
Organism: Plodia interpunctella (Indianmeal moth)
Lineage: Eukaryota; Metazoa; Arthropoda; Insecta; Lepidoptera; Pyralidae
Gene name: ctenidin-1-like
Exons: 4
Source: RefSeq, a predicted model, not a curated record
UAAGCUAGCCUCAAGGCAAGGAUUAAGGAUGACCAAGCCGUAAAGAGAGUUUAUCUGGGCCCACCAUUCGGGUGGUGAACGAGAGAUCGUCCCAGAUACCCCUCAUGGCAUGGCAUAGUGGAAGUUAACAUGACGAACGAGCUGGUAGAUAUCUUGUGGGAGCGGCCCGGGGAAGCAGGCGUGCGCUUGUGUCGCUGGGUGAAGUAAUCCUAAAAAUGAAACUAAUCGUGUGCAUUGCCCUCGUGUGCCUGGUGGGUCUGGUCACAUGCGAGCCCGUCCACCGCAGACAGAGGCGAGGAGCUGAAGAUGAAACCCCUGCGACCACCACCACCACCGGCGACUCCAACUCCCAAAACAUCCUGGUGUCUCUGCAGCAGCUGUUCAGCAACCCUGACAAGAUCAAGGACCCAUCCAACUGGAUUAGUAUCAUUCCGUUGCUUUUGAACAAAGACAAACCAAGCUCAACAUAAACGUGUGCUGGUUUGAGUAUAGCAAAAUUUUCACGGAUUAUACGCAUUAUUUAUGAAAAUAUUGGCAUUAUUCCUUUUUUACCUAUUAGCAAUAAUUUGGUAAAAUAUUAAUUACCAUACUUACCUACCUUGUUAGAGUUUAAUAAAAUUCACUAGGAUUUGUUAUUAUACAUAUUUAAAAUUUUACGACUGUAUUUUACGAAUGUCUUUACGACUGUUUCACAUCUCCCUUCGAAUCUCGUACAACUAGUUUUCGGUGGGCGCUUUCUACUUCAAAGAACAAAAUUAUACGAAACGAAGUUAUAAGGAGUGGGCCUUACUAAUUCGGUCAUUUAAUCAUCGACAAUUUCUAGGUCUUCUAUAGUUAUUAGUGGUGAUCUGCGAAAUUUUACGAAGAAAUGGUUACAUUUGGCAUCGGAUAGAAGGGCUUGGAAGGAGUUGGGGGUGACCUUUGCCUUGCAGUGGGACGGAAUAGCUUAAUAAAAGCAUCUGCAAUAAAUGCGACUAUGUACAUAAAACCAUAGAAAUAAAACUAUGUUGCGAUUCACUACUUACGUACCUCACACUAGGGCAGAGAUAAAAUUUUCCACUUCCCCUCAAGAACGUACGAUUGCCUUUACACUGAUAAUACUAAUUACUACAAGUUUCCUCAGUGUAUUAUAUUCGUAGAAGGCUCUGUUUGUAUUUAUUUAACUAAAUCUUAAAAUUAUAUCUCACGGCCGUCCAUUAUAAAGCUAUACUAACGACCCGUCCUGGCUUCGCUCGGACGAGCGUUUUUUAAUACGCAUCAAAAUCCGUUGCAGGAUAAACGCAAUAUUUAAGAAAACAUAGUAGUGAACUAAUAAAUUACUCUAAGAACAUCACGUUUUUUAGUGUCAUUUAGUAUGGAGCGUUUUGACGAGUCUUAAAAAGUGUGAUUUUUUUUUUUCACAUCUUGAAAGCAUUGUCAUUGUCACAGUAUUGUUUCUAAUAAUAUAAGGGCAUUAUCAACCAUCCUAUUGCACACUACAGGAGAAAUAAUACUCUGUACUAACUCUAUGGAACAUUCAUACAAUAAAAAGUAAAGUGUUCAAUAUUUUUUUGAAGUUUUUGCAUCUGAGUUAAACUCUAGUGAUCAUAGCAGCAUGACUAUUUUGCGAACAUGUAUUUUUCUUCUUUUAUUAUAUAUUGUUGUACAUUCAGAAGUAUGUGUAACAAUUUCUGGAGCUCACGACUCACAACCUGAUUACGACUGGCAUCCGAUCUUCAGUCCCUUGGGGAAUCGAGGAAAACCUAUCAAGAAGGAAAACAAUGAAGACAAGUUUUACAUACAAAAUGGAUAUCUCGGGAGCCCUUUCCCACCAGUAUAUUACACAGGAUUGUACACAUAUCCCUUCUACGCUUACGAAGAUUUAAAACCACCUCAUCAUCCUGUACACGAUUUCAAUGAAAAUUAUUAUCCAUUCAUUAAAAAGGAAAGUAAAGACCAUCCCGUAACUACUGUAUGAUUGAACAAUAUCUUAAUAAAAUACAAUAUAUUGUAAUUUUGCAAUUGAAUAAAAAUUUAAUCUAAAUUAACCUAAUUUCACUAUUUUUGCUUAUACUUAUUAAAUUACUUAUAUUUUUAUGCCAUAUAAUGCAUCCAUGAGGAAGGCUCUCUCCUAGGAAUGUUAGAAAAUAAACCAAUAGUUAUAAUAUAAAAUACAUAUAUAUCUUUCGUAUAAUAAUGAAUCGCACAAAGUAUAUAUUUGUAUAAAUCGUAAGGAAUUUUUUAAUGAUCCUUAAGAAUGUUCAUAUCAGACGUCAUCUAUUCAAUGUGUAAUAAUUAUUACUUGAACUGGUUUAAUUAUUCUAUUAUAUAUACAUAAAUAUAAUUGCUGCUAUAAAUAUACUAAGUUUAAUGUGAGACAUAUAUUUAUUCAUAUGUACCUGUAACAACAAGCAAGAUGCCAAUUUAAAAGUACACAAAAUUAACAUGAUUCUAAAAAUUCGCACAUUGGUAUAAAAUGUUGUUCUUAAACUGUAAAACUACUUUCUUCCGUUUUAAUCGUAAAGAACACCCCAGCAUUUUGAUUUUCAUUGUACAAAUUCCUUAGAAUAAUCUAUAUCUUUAAAUACAAUAAAACUGUAAGUGGGCUAUGAGUUAUGACGCACGAAAUAAACGCGGGCGCGGUAAAGUCGCGGUUAAAACCAUACUAGAUUUUAACCACGGCUCCACGCCCGCGUUUAUAUUUAAUAAUAUUUAUAUGAAAAUAUAUAUUUAAAAUGUUGAGUACCACAGACCAGAAGGAUCAAACAUUAUGCAGUUGUCAAUUGAUAGGUAUAUAAGAUCAAGGAAACUUAUAACGACACCAGUGACAUAUCGUCUAGAUAAGAGAAUCAACUGCAAUGGCUUCAGUAAAGAUAUUGGCUAUUUUAAUGCUGGCUUUGAUAGCCACGACUUUAGCCCAAAGAGGUGGUUUUGACAACCAAGGCGGGCAAGGUGGGCGAGGACAGGGUGGCUUUGGAGGGGGAUUCGGGGGGAGGCAAGGAGGCUCCAGCGGGCAACGAGGCAACCAAGGUGGAUUUGGGGGGAACCAGGGAGGUUUCGGAGGGGGACAAGGUGGACGCGGCGGUGGCUUCGGUGGAAAUCAGGGAGGUUUUGGACGACAAUGAUUGAACAAAAAUGGAACGAUACCUGAUGACUCAUUGACUUUAUUAUGUAUUAGUUUAUUUGCCCAAAAACGAAUUUGGAUUGCAGUGUUACAAAAUGAAUAAAUGUACGAUUAAAA